UACGGAGGGGGCCAGCGUUGUUCGGAAUUAUUGGGCGUAAAGGGCGCGUAGGCGGCCGGAUAAGUCUGACGUGAAAUCCCUCGGCCUAACCGGGGAACUGCGUCUGAAACUGUUCGGCUUGAGUCCGGGAGAGGGUAGUGGAAUUCCCAGUGUAGCGGUGAAAUGCGUAGAUAUCGUGAGGAAGACCAGUUGCGAAGGCGGAUCUCUGGGCAGUUCCUGACACUGAGGCACGAAGGCCAGGGGAGCAAACGGG
RNAcentral lists this ribosomal RNA (253 nucleotides) under uncultured prokaryote. RNAcentral's name for it is "partial 16S ribosomal RNA". It matches the Rfam family "Bacterial small subunit ribosomal RNA", at positions 524 to 776 of the family's 1533-position model. The record is from RNAcentral.